RNAcentral lists this ribosomal RNA (660 nucleotides) under Triticum aestivum (bread wheat). RNAcentral's name for it is "partial small subunit ribosomal RNA". The record is from RNAcentral. Lineage: Eukaryota; Viridiplantae; Streptophyta; Magnoliopsida; Poales; Poaceae.
CCGGAUAGGAUUUUAUGGGCCCUUGACAGUAAAGGGAAAUUUACGACUAAAUACUUAUAUGAAUGGUUGGAACGGAAUCUAUCAGGUCCUAACUAUACGAUGGUGUGGAAAGCACCCAUCCCGUUGAUGAAUAAAAUUUUCCUUUGGCAGUUGUUUCAGAAUGCAGUUCUUACUCGUGAUAACAUGCGUAUCAGGAAUUGGCCUGGAAAUCCCAUGUGCUCCUUCUGUACUGAUGUUGAAACGGCAAAUCAUUUGUUCUUUACCUGCCCACUUGCUCGUUCGGUGUGGGGAGUGUUGGGCAUGACGGUUGGGGCAUCCUGCUGUCCUCGUUCUCUUUGGCAAAGCUUCGCUUGGCUUUAUAAGUUUUUUCCGGGUGGAAAGCAUUUUUAUAUGAUGAUCAUUAUUGCAAUAUGCUGGGGGGUUUGGACUCUCCGCAAUAAAGUUACAUUUGAUAAACAUGUUGUUCGUUCUCCUCUGGAGGCUGUUUUCACUGCCUGCUCGUUUAUGUUGUAUUGGGCAGGUUUGCUGAAGGAACAAGAGAAGGUGAAGCUACAGGCUGGAGUGAAGAGGUUGGCUCACGCGGCUGCUGCGCUGGCGGACAGAUCACUUCCUCGAGGCAGACCUCUCUUAGGAGACAGAGAUGGGAUCCAGAUUGGUUAG